GAGAGAGUGUAACAGAGGAUGAGUUUCAGGGACGAUAGUGAAGAUGGGAGAGACCUCAGGAAGCCAUUUUUGCACACGGGGAGCUGGUAUCGAAUGGGUUCGAGGCAAUCCAGUCUGAUGGGUUCGUCUCAGGCAAUUCGUGACAACUCCAUCUCUGUAGUUGCUUGUGUUCUCAUCGUUGCUUUGGGCCCUAUCCAGUUUGGCUUCAC
Molecule: unclassified non-coding RNA, 209 nt
Filed under: Hevea brasiliensis (rubber tree)
Lineage: Eukaryota; Viridiplantae; Streptophyta; Magnoliopsida; Malpighiales; Euphorbiaceae
Source: RNAcentral